ACACAGAAAGGGGAGUACUAAACACUGGGGUCUAUUGGGGGGAAAGGGGGAGAGCCAGGGGGAGGGGGAGGUGGGGAGGGUUAGCCUGGGGAGAAAUGCCAAAUGUGGGUGAAGGGGAGAAGGAAAGCAAAGCACACUGCCAUGUGUGUACCUACGCAACUGUCUUGCAUGCUCUGCUCAUGUACCCCAAAACCUAAAAUCCAAUAAAAAAAAAAAAAGAUUCUAUUUGAUCCACUAAAGGGAAUAAUAUAACAGAUUUUAUGUUUAAAUGUUACUAUUUGCCAUAUUCCAAAAAUCUCUUUUGAAAAUUCAAAAGUGAUGAUGAAAAACUUAGAUACCAACCUAAGAAUGUGCAAGAUGGUACAUAAACUUUUUAAUAUUCCUCUAGGAUGUUAUAAGAGCAAAAAUGUUUGCGACCACUGCUCUGUGAGGCUGAAUGUUUGAUCUCCUGUUCUGUGAGCUACGCCCAGGCCUCCUGCCAAACAGAGAGGAAGUUCAACUAUGAACGAGAUUACAAAAUCGUCUGAAGCUGUAACAGUGAAAACUACUUCAGGGAAGAAAAAGAAUAACAAAGGAAUCAAGAAGAAAAUUGAAGGUCUGAUGGAAGCUGGUCCUUGGUUAGUGAAGUUGCAUUUGCAGAUAAUGGCAUAG
RNAcentral lists this long non-coding RNA (651 nucleotides) under Callithrix jacchus (white-tufted-ear marmoset). RNAcentral describes it as "lncRNA (ENSCJAG00000076816.1)". The record is from RNAcentral. Lineage: Eukaryota; Metazoa; Chordata; Mammalia; Primates; Cebidae.